This is a long non-coding RNA of Oxyura jamaicensis (ruddy duck), 1268 nucleotides long. RefSeq lists it as uncharacterized. Lineage: Eukaryota; Metazoa; Chordata; Aves; Anseriformes; Anatidae. The record is from RefSeq and is a predicted model, not a curated record. The transcript has 3 exons.
GCUGGAUGCUGGUUGAGAUGCGUUAGAGAACAUCUAAUACUGAAUCUACCCAUGUGGAGGCAAAUGAAUGAUUCUCUUGAAGUUUCAUCUAUGGAACAAUAUAGAAUUCCUAAACUGAGAAAAGUUUGAACAUGUAUGUUCCCAUCUCUAGAUUAAUACAAAUAUUUAUUAUUUACAAUGGCUCUUUCUAAAUGCCCUGCAAAGCUAUGCUUUGUGUACUUAGAUUCACCUAUUUUUAGAUUGAAUUCAUAUCUGUAGUGUAUUUACACACCUAAAUUGUACACUUACACAGUUUUGCUAUUACAGAAGUUUCAAGAGAGAGCAGCAGCCUUUAGAACAAACAAACCUGUUUCAAGCUGAGAUCAAUAUACCAUGUUUAGUGAUACCAUAGCUCACUUAUCUGGGCUUUCUAAGUAGAGCACAGAGUGCAGGUGUAUUUUUUAAAUUCAGUUCCUUUGGUAUCUCCUCCAAAGUUGAACUAGCAAUGAAUGUCGUUAUCGCCACCCUGUUUUUCACUUUGGCCCAUACUCAUCUGCUCAUCAUUAAACUCUCACCUGGGGAGAGUAGCUUAAACACAAAGUCGCUGUCUGCAUAGCCAGUGGAAAAUGGAGGACAUGGAGAAAAUAUCUGACCUAAUAAAUUAAAGAGGUUAAGGACCAUUGCCUGGUUUUGAGGAUUACAGAAUUGUUGUAACUUGCAUAUAUACAGAAAAACUAUUUUCACUUCCCAAAUGGGAUGGUAACAACCAAAUUACUUACUAGAAUAUGCUAUAGUAUAGCAUACCUCCAGACUAUCUACCCUAGACAACAAUACUGUUUGGCAUGGGCUAAAAUAUACCAGAGCAUGUAUUAACAUUUAGGCAGUAGGGAUGGUUGUUCUUAUGUCUCUUACAGACCAGCCUACAUAGAGUUAUAGAGAAUAACUUAAUCCUUUGCAUUUUGAGGUACCUCUGUAUCCUCUCUUCAGAUGCUGCACGGAUGUAUUUCCUGGAUUUCUGAAGACCUCUUAGAUUUGUUGCUUCUGUCCCUCUGAACAGUUGAAGUUCAUUGUCAUGGUAGGGAAUUGUAGCAAGUCGUUAAACUCUAAUGGGGAAAAGGAAAAAUAAACAAAUAUCACCUUAUGAGCCAGCCUGAAGAACUGUUCUUCAAUAAUCCUCUUAUUUCUGUGCCAGGUAAUUUUUAUAUUAAUGAUGAAGCUAUACAUAAUAUGUAUAUGGUUCCACAAUAAACUGCAUUUCUCAUACUCUAUUCAUUUAAAAUAUCUUAAUU